This 488-nucleotide ribosomal RNA is filed under the name uncultured bacterium. RNAcentral describes it as "bacterial SSU rRNA". It matches the Rfam family "Bacterial small subunit ribosomal RNA", at positions 17 to 504 of the family's 1533-position model. The record is from RNAcentral.
UCCUGGCUCAGAUUGAACGCUGGCGGCAUGCCUUACACAUGCAAGUCGAGCGGCAGCGCGGGGGCAACCCUGGCGGCGAGCGGCGGACGGGUGAGUAAUACAUCGGAACGUGUCCUUUCGUGGGGGAUAACCAGUCGAAAGACUGGCUAAUACCGCAUGAGAUCGUAAGAUGAAAGCGAGGGACCGCAAGGCCUCGCGCGAUUGGAGCGGCCGAUGUCGGAUUAGCUAGUUGGCGGGGUAAGAGCCCACCAAGGCGACGAUCCGUAGCUGGUUUGAGAGAACGACCAGCCACACUGGGACUGAGACACGGCCCAGACUCCUACGGGAGGCAGCAGUGGGGAAUUUUGGACAAUGGGGGCAACCCUGAUCCAGCCAUGCCGCGUGUGUGAAGAAGGCCUUCGGGUUGUAAAGCACUUUCGGCCGGAACGAAAUCGCUUCGUUAAUAGCGGGGGUGGAUGACGGUACGGAAAAGAAGCACGGCUAAAAAU